This 363-nucleotide ribosomal RNA is filed under the name uncultured bacterium. Its description in RNAcentral is "bacterial SSU rRNA". It matches the Rfam family "Bacterial small subunit ribosomal RNA", at positions 74 to 434 of the family's 1533-position model. The record is from RNAcentral.
AGUAGCUUGCUACUAGACGACGACCGGCGCACGGGUGAGUAACGCGUAUGUAAUCUGCCUUGUACAGAGGGAUAGCCCAGAGAAAUUUGGAUUAAUACCUCAUAGUAUUACUGGAUCGCAUGAUUUGGUAAUUAAAGCUCCGGCGGUACAAGAUGAACAUGCGUGACAUUAGCUAGUUGGUAAGGUAACGGCUUACCAAGGCUACGAUGUCUAGGGGUUCUGAGAGGAUGAUCCCCCACACUGGUACUGAGACACGGACCAGACUCCUACGGGAGGCAGCAGUGAGGAAUAUUGGUCAAUGGACGCAAGUCUGAACCAGCCAUCCCGCGUGAAGGAUGACUGCCCUAUGGGCUGUAAACUUCU